Molecule: ribosomal RNA, 279 nt
Filed under: uncultured bacterium
Lineage: Bacteria
Description: partial 16S ribosomal RNA
Rfam family: Bacterial small subunit ribosomal RNA
Source: RNAcentral
CCUACGGGACGCAGCAGUGGGGAAUAUUGCACAAUGGGGGAAACCCUGAUGCAGCGACGCCGCGUGAGUGAAGAAGUCAUUCGUGAUGUAAAGCUCUAUCAGCAGGGAAGAAAAUGACGGUACCUGACCAAGAAGCCCCGGCUAACUACGUGCCAGCAGCCGCGGUAAUACGUAGGGGGCAAGCGUUAUCCGGAUUUACUGGGUGUAAAGGGAGCGUAGACGGUUGCGCAAGUCUGGAGUGAAAGUCGGGGGCCCAACCCCCGGCCUGCUCUGUAAACU